GUGCUCACUUCAGCAGCAAAUAUACUAAAAUUGGAACAAUACAGAGAAGGUUAACGUGGUGCCUGCUAAGGAUGACACAAAUUCGUGAAGUGUUCCAUAUUUUU
Monodelphis domestica (gray short-tailed opossum) is the source of this 104-nucleotide small nuclear RNA. The record is from Ensembl. NCBI's taxonomy places the organism in Eukaryota, Metazoa, Chordata, Mammalia, Didelphimorphia, Didelphidae.